ACCUACGGGGCGCAGCAGUGAGGAAUAUUGGUCAAUGGACGCAAGUCUGAACCAGCCAUGCCGCGUGCAGGAUGACGGCUCUAUGAGUUGUAAACUGCUUUUGUACGAGGGUAAACCCCGAUACGUGUAUCGGGUUGAAAGUAUCGUACGAAUAAGCAUCGGCUAACUCCGUGCCAGCAGCCGCGGUAAUACGGAGGAUGCGAGCGUUAUCCGGAUUUAUUGGGUUUAAAGGGUGCGUAGGCGGUCCGGAAAGUCAGCGGUAAAAGCCCGGGGCUCAACCCCGGCGAGCCGUUGAAACUGUCGGA
Molecule: ribosomal RNA, 305 nt
Filed under: uncultured bacterium
Lineage: Bacteria
Description: bacterial SSU rRNA
Rfam family: Bacterial small subunit ribosomal RNA
Source: RNAcentral